CAUUCUUUGACUAUGGAGAACGUUUUCCAAAUCGAACUUCUAAAGCUGUUUUUUCUAGUUGUCCCCCUUGUUUUUGUUUAAUUUUUUUUUUCUCCCCGGAAAAAAAAACUCCGAAAUGGUGUAACCACAAUUUUGGCAAAAGAACUUAAAAAUCUUUUAACCUUGCAAAUGUAACAAAAUAAACCAUAAAUAUACACAAAACAUACUUCAUACGAGGCAAUAAUAAUAAUAAUAAUCAUAAUAAAUAGUUUUUAAGUUAACAAUAAGUUAAAACUACAAGCUUAAAGUCGCCCAAAUAAUACAAGUUUGUCGGCGCUAUUUUGACAUUUUUUUUCUGUUUAAAUUAUUUUUAUGUUGCAACAAAAGCUACCACAGACUUUUACAAACACAAUCGAACACAUUUUGAUUGGAACGAAAAGAAUCUAAGUCUAAAAUCGGCAUACACUUUAAAAAACUGCAACUAAUCCGAUAAUGGAGGAAAAAAAUAAAUACAAAUAAAAGAACAAACCGUACCCAAUCAAUGCAACCAAACAUAAUCGACCCAUAUGUGUGUUCUCUAUGGCAACAUCAACAACACAAAUACACUCAAUAAACAAGUGAGUCCUGAUAUGCAAUUGAAAUCAAUAAAUUACAAGAGGAAAAAAAAAAGAUAUUUAGUCGACAUGGGCGGGAAAAAAAACAAAAACAAAAAAACAACUGAUGAGCUAUUAGACAGUAUUCCUUUCAAGGUCACUGACGGUUGCUCCGUUCAGUCGGAGUCUUUGAGCUUGUACGGUCAGAGCACAAAUUACGGGGGGCUGAGGAGGUCGUCAUGGAAAUUUCCAGAUCAGAGCUCUCUCAUUUGAGUUCUCCUUAACGAGCCGGCUCGUCUUUGCGCCGUCGUUCGUCCGAUAUGGUUUUUGCUUGUUUGUUCCUUUCGCUAUUCCGCAAACCUUCUCAGUGUGACGUUUAAUUUCUUUUUUAAAAAAUAUAUAUCAUUUGUUCUCAGUCAAUAUAAAAACAAAGCACAUUGCACUUACUGUUCCAUAGGAAAGUUUUUUUGUCUUUUUUGUCUUUUUCUUCUAACAUGAUUAUUGUUGUCGCUCAAGCGGUGUGUGUUCGUGUGCGCUACUGUUUCCUGUUCCUCGGCUCUCUUUGAGUGAAGGUGGUCUUUGAGUAUGUAGAUUCAUUCCGGUCUUUGACGGCAAUAUAUUAGAUGACUCCGACUUCCUAAAAAGCGAAAUUUGUCGGUAUUGGGGCGCUAAUGCCUGACCAAAAACUAGCCAAAUUAGUCGUGAACAGCAGUGAGAUCGACAGAUGCUCGAUUAAUGGCCGAAUAUAAGACUGUGGGUUUUUUUGCAUUGACGUAAGAUUGAAAAAGUGGGGGUCGUCUUAUAUUCGGGGUCUAGACAUUAUACCAAUUCAUGACGCUAGAUGGCGCCAGAUAUCAUUGAAGCGAAUGUUAAACUUGACUCCCAGGCCAAAGUGAACCCCUGCCAGGAAAAAUAAAAAUAGCGGUAGCACUGUAGUACUGUCAUUAUUUUCUGUAUUAAAAUUAAUUUGGUGUUCAAAAAGUCUUUUUUUUCAAACUUGAGUCUUGAAAAAGAGGGGGUCGUCUCAUAAUCAGGGCCGUCUUAUAUUCGGGCCAAGCAGUGAUUUUAGGGAUCGAAUGGAUCGUGAGACGAAGCAGGCGACGGAAAUGUCAAGGAGGGGGCGGGCUACUGUAUCCAAUGCUCCCCUUUAGUGAGAGGUGAUAAGAUUGAUUGCUUGUUUCUGAGAUGCCCCUUUAGCACUCGUGUCUGCGUGAAAUGUGUGCAAAUGGGAUUUGCUCGGUGGGUUUGAGGAGCCACAAAUGAUCGCUUGAUGUUCAAAAGAAAGAACGCAAAUUGUGGAAAGGGUCCUCGAAGACGCCACAAAUAACAGAUUUGUACAGCAAUUAAUCAAGGCGGGGAGGGGGGGCGUGUUGUGUUUAAAACUCAUUCAGUACCAGACGGUUCUGGACCCAGUCUGAAAAAGACGUUUAAAAACAUCUUUGGGAGUGAAUGAGUUCAGUUUUACUGACUGGCAGACCAAACUCUAUGUCAAAAAAAAAAAAAUCUACUCUAUCUAAGGAAUCGCGCUCAGUGGUCACCACGAGGCCGCCCUGUCAUAUCAAAUCUGCGCAUAUCCUCUUUUUUUGGGGGGGGGGGGGGGGGCGUUACAAGCAGCGAUUGGUUUUGUCAGCCGGGCAAUGAGAUGGUCUCACCGCACAUUUUUUUGGUGGUUUUUUUUUUUUCAUCUGGGAUUUACAAGCCAAAGAAGCAACAUCAAGCAACACUGUACACGACGAGUUCAGCACAAGAGUGUCUGAGGCACUCAAAAGUAUCCCCGUAACGGUUCGGCUUGACCUAUUUUUUGAUGUCAACUUCAGUUCUGUUUUUCUUCUUAACUGUCAAGUUUGUCUCCAAAACGUUAGCCACGGUCGAGCGGUUUUAAUUUGCUGUGUGCGAUAGUGUUCCUUUGCCCCCUUCCCGAGACUCCCACCCGCGCAGCGCAUUGCUCGUUUCCCCCCCCUCCCUCUCACGCCUGCAAACAUCAGAGGGUUUAAAAUAAAAGCCAUGCAACGUCCCAAUUUUUUUUUUCUCUUUUACCCCGAGCUUAAGAAUCUGUAAAAAUUCAGCACAAGGUCUUGUUCCUUUGUAUGUAUAAAAAUAGAUUUAUCUUUAAUGUAUUCCUUUCAAAGAGAUUGCCCUCUUUGGCUUACACAGCGUCAUUUAGAAAAGCAAACAAGUCUUGAAUAGAGUUGACCUCUAUUUUAAAUCUAUGAUCCUGCGCAGAUAGCGAAAGACUUUCGCCCUUUGCCGCGCUAGAGCUCACGACUGCUCUUCGCUAGACACUUCGGAUAAGACGAGCGGGCCUUCAUGUUCCAUCGAGGAAAAAAAGAAAUAAAAAUUCCACAGCGCUGGGUUCGAGAUGCAUUAUGACACUUAAGUUGUCAUCUUGAUGUUGAUCAGUUGUUGGGCGAGGGGGGGAUUUCAGCGACUUUUCAGAAGCUACCGAGUUGUUUGAAAGGAAUCGAACCGAGAAACAUCGGUCCACGCUUCUGGGACCGAGUCUUUUUUUUUUCACGUCGAGGGACACUCUUGUCAAUGUUUGGCCCUUGAAUUUGAAGCCACGCUUCUCAGUUGCUUGUUUUAACUUGAGUCGAUCGACUAAACGUUGUGAUUUUGGAGGUUCCUGUCUGAGGACGAGAUUGAAGAAGAAUCACAUUUGCUUUUGCGAGUGUGUUAUCUCUUCGCAGACCGUCUGACAUCGAUGUAUUAUUACUUUAUCAGCCGUGACCAACGUGGGCUGCCUCGUGUAUGGUAGCGUGCCAGCAAAAACCACUGUGUCAGGUACAUGUGGUUGAGGUUCCGUCUCCCCCCCCUCCUUCCCUCCCCAUCAAAGCCUGAUUGCCUGAGGCAUCUCAUGCCGCAUUUUGCACAGAUGCAGCUAAAAAAAAAAAAAGAAAAAGCAAAAUGUCAUUUUCUGUCGCGCUGGAAAUCAAUCCUCAAUGUCUACCCCCUGCGCCACUCAGCUUUGGGAUCGUUUUUGCUCUGGUGGACUCGUCUUAGGUGUACUGUAUUGUUUGGAGUGACGCUGUGAGAAGGGGGGGCAGACUGGCUAUUUAUUUAUUUAUCUAUUUUAUUCCGGUUCCCAGAUUCACGAGUUUACUUAAAUCGGCAUCGGGUCCGAGCGACCAAGCUCACGUGGAGUUAGAGGGAUCUGCCUUGAUGCUCGGCGCCGCCGAAAGCAGUUCAGGAAAACAGUUGUCAAGGUUUUUUAGAAAAUGCUUACAUAUACGGCUAUUAUUACCACCACCUGUAUAUUGAAUAUAUAGUUAGAUUUUUUUUUUGAUAGAUGUAUAAGAGAACACUGUGUCUUCAUUUCAUUUUCUUUGAUCUUAAAAAAAGUCACUGAUUCAAAAUGCCCAAGUGUAAAAAAAAACAAAACAAAA
Long non-coding RNA from Hippocampus zosterae (dwarf seahorse), 3955 nucleotides. RefSeq lists it as uncharacterized. The transcript is spliced from 2 exons. Lineage: Eukaryota; Metazoa; Chordata; Actinopteri; Syngnathiformes; Syngnathidae. The record is from RefSeq and is a predicted model, not a curated record.